This 305-nucleotide ribosomal RNA is filed under the name uncultured bacterium. Its description in RNAcentral is "bacterial SSU rRNA". It matches the Rfam family "Bacterial small subunit ribosomal RNA", at positions 338 to 660 of the family's 1533-position model. The record is from RNAcentral.
CCUACGGGAGGCAGCAGUGGGGGAUAUUGCACAAUGGGGGAAACCCUGAUGCAGCGACGCCGCGUGAGUGAAGAAGUAUUUCGGUAUGUAAAGCUCUAUCAGCAGGGAAGAAAAUGACAGUACCUGACCAAGAAGCCCCGGCUAACUACGUGCCAGCAGCCGCGGUAAUACGUAGGGGGCAAGCGUUAUCCGGAAUCACUGGGUGUAAAGGGAGCGUAGACGGCUGAGCAAGCCUGAAGUGAAAGGCGGGGGCCCAACCCCCGGACUGCUUUGGGAACUGUACGGCUGGAGUGCAGGAGAGGUAA